Molecule: ribosomal RNA, 229 nt
Filed under: uncultured bacterium
Lineage: Bacteria
Description: partial 16S ribosomal RNA
Rfam family: Bacterial small subunit ribosomal RNA
Source: RNAcentral
UCCGUAGGCGGGCAAUUAAGUCAGAGGUGAAAUCCCACAGCUCAACUGUGGAACUGCCUUUGAUACUGGUUGUCUUGAGUUAUAGUGAAGUAGAUAGAAUAUGUAGUGUAGCGGUGAAAUGCAUAGAUAUUACAUAGAAUAUCGAUUGCGAAGGCAGUCUACUAACUGUAUACUGACGCUAAUGGACGAAAGCGUGGGGAGCGAACAGGAUUAGAUACCCUGGUAGUCC